GAAAGUCGACCAACACCCGAAGUCCCGAUUCGUCGGCCUAAGGUGGGGGAUGAUUGGGUU
RNAcentral lists this ribosomal RNA (60 nucleotides) under uncultured bacterium. RNAcentral describes it as "partial 16S ribosomal RNA". The record is from RNAcentral.